CCCCUAGAUGUUCUGGGCCGCACGCGCGCUACACUGAACAGUUCAACAAGUCUUAACCUUGGCCGAUAGGUCUGGGUAAUCUUUGAACGCUGUUCGUGAUUGGGAUAGACCUUUGCAAUUAUGGGUCUUCAACGAGGAAUUCCUAGUAAACGCAAGUCAUCAGCUUGCAUUGAUUACGUCCCUGCCCUUUGUACACACCGCCCGUCGCACCUACCGAUUGGGUGAUCCGGUGAAUUGCUUGGAACAGCCAAAGUGUUCUUUGAACGCUGUGGAGGUGAAAAGUUGUAAACCUUAUCACUUAGAGGAAGAAAAAGUCGUANCA
This 322-nucleotide ribosomal RNA is filed under the name uncultured eukaryote. RNAcentral's name for it is "partial 18S ribosomal RNA". It matches the Rfam family "Eukaryotic small subunit ribosomal RNA", at positions 1470 to 1796 of the family's 1831-position model. The record is from RNAcentral.